CAGAUGGAUUCCCAAACAUAUAUGGAAUAAAGGACCUCUAAAGCGAGCAGCAGGCGUAGGCUAUGCUCCAAGGCUUCUGCUGCUGCUCCAGGGCUUCUGCUGCCCGCACAAAUACAGUAUUAUAAAAAUGUCGCACUGCUGUAUUCGUGGUUGCUCUUAUAAGUGUAGGAGCAACAUUUCCAAACGUCCCUAUUUAAAAUGUUGGGAGCCGAUCUGGCCUAGCAUGUAGAGAAGGCACCGUAAAGAACUGGCAGUACAUUUUGUCUUACCGGAACCCUGAUCCCGCAAAAGGAGAAAGAUAUGUUUCACAGAGAAAGGUGGUGUAAAAUGAUUACUUGCUCUUGUGAAUCAUUCUAUUUAUUCUGCAAAUGAUGAUCAUCUAGACUGGUUGAAUACGAAGUUUGUUCAGUAUCUUUUGGAUUGGCAAGUAAACGUUUAAAGAGGUUGGGUAUGGUGUGAAUGUGAUAUGGCAAUGAAAAGCGAUAAAACAAAUUAAGGUGAUAACACUUCCUACGGCACG
Molecule: non-coding RNA, 520 nt
Organism: Ciona intestinalis (vase tunicate)
Lineage: Eukaryota; Metazoa; Chordata; Ascidiacea; Phlebobranchia; Cionidae
Source: RefSeq, a predicted model, not a curated record